Monomorium pharaonis (pharaoh ant) is the source of this 1355-nucleotide long non-coding RNA. RefSeq lists it as uncharacterized. NCBI's taxonomy places the organism in Eukaryota, Metazoa, Arthropoda, Insecta, Hymenoptera, Formicidae. The transcript has 3 exons. The record is from RefSeq and is a predicted model, not a curated record.
GCGCGCGAUUAAUAUCGCGGGUGCCGUGUUGUGAGCUCGAAGUCUUCAAAGUGCCGGAACAACGUGUAGAAUUUAGAGCACAAAUAUAGUAUAUAUGUAUUUCAUUAUAUAAUUUAAACCCAAGCUGUCAAUUGAGCUUAGUCAGAAAUUAAUCAGUUCAACUGUUAUUGAGAUCCGAUAAUCUUGGUUACUCGUAACUCGCGUUACAAGAUACACGGGCGAUACACAGGGCAGUCUCGUGUUACACUAAAGUAAUCUGUGCAGUCCCUGGAGGGCCAAAACGAGAGAAAAGGACAGUACGUGCAAUAAUUCUUUGGCAAUGUGUAGAACUUAUUGUUAGAGCACAAAGAUGCUAUUUUAAAUACAUAUCCAGUAGUGAAAGAAAUUGAGUUUGAAGAGAUCGUCGCAGAAUGGUUCCGGUUUGUUAAACAACGAUGAAUUCGAACAGCAGAAAAAGAGAAGAAAAAAGUAGAGAGAAGAAAGUAAAGACGACGGAGGCAAGACAGACUCUUUCAAGGUUGCAGAGUCUUAGAUAAAAGAUAAAUAUAGAUAUAUUUGAAGCGAGUGCUGGGUGGAUUGGUUAACAGGAAAUUCGUGGCCCGGGAUCUUCUGCUACGAUAGUGGAAAACCUGCGUUUUGUAAUAAGUUCCCAAUUCCUCUCAGUAUUAUUGCCAGUACUAAAAAUCUAUAGUUUACGUCACAUAGGAUUUUCACUACUGGCAUUAGUAGUAAAAGGAAUUAAAAACGCAUAUUUGAUCAUCACUCAAUAUCUAGUCAAUUAGUAUCUAAUAGUAUAAUAGUAUUUAGUCGAUAAGCGAAAUUUGCAAGAAAUGCAAGAAAUGUUCCUAAUGUUUUAAUUUAAGUUUUUACAUUUUGUUAGUGAUUGAAUACACAUAAUCGCUCUAUUAGUAUUUUAGUCAAUAGACGAAGUUUGCAAAAAAUGUUGUAAAAUAAUUUAAUAACACAUAUGCCUGUUUCUACUAACACUGUUUAUGCCCGAUUGCACCAACGUAAAUUAACUUUAAUCUCGGUUCAACUUGCUCUUCAUCUUCUUCUUAUUAUAAUCUCUAAAGUGACAUUUAAUUAACUUGCUCUUCAUUUUUUUUUCUAAUUCUUACAAUUAAAAAAAGAUGAAGAAUAAGUUGAACCGAGAUUAAAGUUAAUCUACGUUGAUGGAAUCGGACAUAAACCGAGAUUAAAAUUAAUCUAAUGUUGGCAGAAACGGGCUAUAAUUAUUUUCGUUUGGUGUAAGAAAUUUCAUUAUGAUAAACAGGAAUUGUGAACCAUUAUAAUAAUAACCAAGAAUUGUAAAUAAUUAUAAUAAUAUUAUAAUAAACAGAAAUUGUGAGCAAGUA